AGUGAACGCUGGCGGUAGGCCUAACACAUGCCAGUCGAACGGCAGCACAGUAAGAGCUUGCUCUUACGGGUGGCGAGUGGCGGACGGGUGAGGAAUACAUCGGAAUCUACUUUUUCGUGGGGGAUAACGUAGGGAAACUUACGCUAAUACCGCAUACGACCUACGGGUGAAAGCAGGGGAUCUUCGGACCUUGCGCGAUUGAAUGAGCCGAUGUCGGAUUAGCUAGUUGGCGGGGUAAAGGCCCACCAAGGCGACGAUCCGUAGCUGGUCUGAGAGGAUGAUCAGCCACAAUGGAAGUGAGACACGGUACAGACUCCUACGGGAGGCAGCAGUGGGGAAUAUUGGACAAUGGGCGCAAGCCUGAUCCAGCCAUACCGCGUGGGUGAAGAAGGCCUUCGGGUUGUAAAGCCCUUUUGCUGGGAAAGAAAAGCAGCAGGUUAAUACCCCGCUGUUCUGACGGUACCCAAAGAAUAAGCACCGGCUAACUUCGUG
RNAcentral lists this ribosomal RNA (492 nucleotides) under uncultured bacterium. RNAcentral's name for it is "partial 16S ribosomal RNA". It matches the Rfam family "Bacterial small subunit ribosomal RNA", at positions 29 to 507 of the family's 1533-position model. The record is from RNAcentral.